CCUACGGGAGGCAGCAGUGGGGCAUAUUGCACAAUGGGGGAAACCCUGAUGCAGCGACGCCGCGUGAGUGAAGAAGUAUUUCGGUAUGUAAAGCUCUAUCAGCAGGGAAGAAAAUGACGGUACCUGAUUAAGAAGCCCCGGCUAACUACGUGCCAGCAGCCGCGGUAAUACGUAGGGGGCAAGCGUUCUCCGGAUUUACUGGUUGUAAAGGGAGCGUAGACGGCAGCACAAGUCUGGAGUGAAAUGCCGGGGCUUAACCCCGGAACUGCUUUGGAAGCUGUGCGGCUAGAGUGCAGGAGAGGUGAGUGGAAGUCCAGGUGUAGCGGUGAAAUGCGUAGAGAUUAGGAGGAACACCAGUGGCGAAGGCGGCUUACUGGACUGAAACUGACGUUGAGGCGCGAAAGCGUGGGGAGCAAACAGGAUUAGAUACCCGGGUAGUC
Molecule: ribosomal RNA, 440 nt
Filed under: uncultured bacterium
Lineage: Bacteria
Description: partial 16S ribosomal RNA
Rfam family: Bacterial small subunit ribosomal RNA
Source: RNAcentral